AGUCCCAACCCCAGCCAGGCCCAACCCAAACUGAACUCUUCUCCCCCCGACCCAAACCCCAGCCCCGCCGCCGGCCAACUCCAGUCCCUUCGCCGCCGCCGCCGCCGCCGCCGCGUAGACGCGAGGACGCACACGCAUCCGCUACCACCGCGGCCAUGGUCCUCUCCCACCGCCGCUUCCUCCUUCCACCCCGGCCUCUUUGCCAUCGGCGCCGUCGCACCACUGCCGGCCCCUGCUCGAGCUGGUCAGGCGGCGUGCAGAUCCGCCACUGCCACAGCGUCGUCGUCCUCCACAACCACGCAGCGGCUCCUCGCCCGCGACCCUCUUCUCCAGGUAUGAGUCCCUCCUCUUCUCCCCUAAUUCCUUGUGGUUCCCGUCCAUCUCCGCGUCUGACUCAUGCGUGCGUUCAGUUUGGGGGCAAGGAAGGAGAAGCCUUUCUCGCUCGAUCUGGCGAGGAUGGAUGCGCAGCAAGGUCAGGUCGCCACCAUCUCUCCCCCUCCUUUCGUUUUCUCGGUUUUGGUUUCGAUUUGCUUCUCUUCCCUUCCCUUCCCUGACGCGGUUCGUUUCCUCACUGCACAGGUGCACCACCGUGAUGAUGGGGAN
This 603-nucleotide long non-coding RNA is filed under the name Triticum aestivum (bread wheat). RNAcentral describes it as "long non-coding RNA (TAES_LNC019087)". Lineage: Eukaryota; Viridiplantae; Streptophyta; Magnoliopsida; Poales; Poaceae. The record is from RNAcentral.